UUCGCAGUUCGCACGACGCACGUUGUUGUUUGUUCCUUUGCAAAGUAUAAAUCGAGAAGUAUUUUGAAUGUAUAUUAAAUUUUACUGGACAUUAUGAUACAAGAUUGCCUGGAGAAGAUCGAGGAUAUUGUUUUAAAAGUGACUGGGAAUCUCAGUCAUCUCAGAGGUAAGGUUUUAAAAUUAUACGCGCAAACAGACGAAAGCUAUAUAUUUUGAAUUUCGAAUUUGCCGCGUAAACAGUGUACGUAUUUAACAGAAAUAUUCACAGUUUUGCUACUCAUUCCCACCAAAAAAAAUGAAUGAUUUAUAGAAAUAUGUUAUGCCGUGGUUAUACUAUAGGUACUAUGCCAUAUUAAGUGUGAUAUUGAUGUAAUGAUGUUGGCUAAACCAUGGUCAAAUACAUGAAUUUAUGUUAUAUAUUAAAAUAUGAACAUGAAACUGAUUGAAACAUCUGCCAUAACAGACUUACUCAAUCUUAGGAUUAUGAUGUACGGAAUCUUAGGAUCUACAUUAAUUUUGAUUAAGAAUUUGAAUGACAUAGCUGUUAUAUUGCCUUUUAAAUAAUUUUUAUAUGCAUCCUUUAUUAGAUGGUGGAUUAACAAGUGCCAAGUGGUGAUGUUUAUAAGUCUAAGUCAUCUAAGUCUGUAAUGAACGAGCAGGAAAGUAUGGUGCCAAGGUCUUUCAUUUGAUGAAAAAUAUCAACUUGAUAUUAGUUCAGUGAAACAAGAAAAGAAGCCAUUUGACUUGGUUUAAGGAAAUAAGGAACAUGGAUUAAUUGAGGUAGUACUAGUGUGCGAGAAACUCAGUGGAUGAGUGGAAAGUCUCCUCUGUUAAUGGUUAAUUGGAUUCACAGUGUUGCAGAACUUAAUUUUCCAGGACAAAAAUACUCCAGGUGAUCUUAUAAAUAUGCUCAUAUUUGGGAGGACAUAUACCAACUUUACAAACAACUAGUCAGUAAUCAAAGAGGAACAUUGCUCAGGAGUUAAUUACUUUAGCUUACGGUAUGUGUUAAUAACAAUAAUUGAAGACAUGCAGUGAGUUUGCAUAGUUCUAGAUGCACUUGUCUUCUUUCAUAAAUAUUUUUAUUCAAUUACCUCUGGGUUCAUUAUACAGGGGCUUAAUUUCAAUAAUUUGAGUUGUUUCAGCUAGUUUCCUAAACUUGCCAAUUGGCAAUUUUUAAUUAAGUCCUUGAAAUACUUGUUUUUUUGAGCAAGGUAUGCACAAACCUAGCAGUACUUUGAACUAUUUCUACAUGUAAAUAUUUAGAAUUUAUUCAUUCAUUCAUAUGGGCACUAAGUAAAUAGUUUUAAUAUUUUGGACUGAUAAGGAAUAAGAAUAAUGUAUAAUUUUGCCUAUGUGAUAUUUCAAAGCCUACUAAUAACUUAAUUUCAUUGCUAGAAAUGAAAGAAAUGUAUAAGUAGGUUAGAGGGCAUAUUUGUCCAUUCAAUUUUGUAAUUUUUUAUGCUUUAUUAUGUUCCUGCUUAUUGUGCUCAUAGGUUUUUAAACAAAUACAUAAUUUAUUUAUCUUUAAUAAAAUUGUUUGUUCAAUAUAGAAGUUCACGUCUGUUCAUCAUGUAACGAUCAUUACAUCAGUGAAUGCAGUGGUUAUCAAAUACACCUUAUGGUGUAUAUUGACCCCAUAAAGUAUAAAUAUACACUU
Molecule: long non-coding RNA, 1660 nt
Filed under: Dendronephthya gigantea
Lineage: Eukaryota; Metazoa; Cnidaria; Anthozoa; Malacalcyonacea; Nephtheidae
Description: uncharacterized LOC114521774, transcript variant X2
Source: RNAcentral